Molecule: ribosomal RNA, 253 nt
Filed under: uncultured bacterium
Lineage: Bacteria
Description: partial 16S ribosomal RNA
Rfam family: Bacterial small subunit ribosomal RNA
Source: RNAcentral
UACGUAGGGUGCAAGCGUUAAUCGGAAUUACUGGGCGUAAAGCGUGCGCAGGCGGAUGUUUAAGUUAGAAGUGAAAUCCCCGGGCUCAACCUGGGAAUGGCUUUUAAGACUGGGCAUCUAGAGUUUGUCAGAGGGGGGUGGAAUUCCAAGUGUAGCAGUGAAAUGCGUAGAGAUUUGGAGGAACACCGAUGGCGAAGGCAGCCCCCUGGGAUAAAACUGACGCUCAUGCACGAAAGCGUGGGUAGCAAACAGG